RNAcentral lists this ribosomal RNA (724 nucleotides) under uncultured Rickettsiales bacterium. Its description in RNAcentral is "bacterial SSU rRNA". It matches the Rfam family "Bacterial small subunit ribosomal RNA", at positions 56 to 828 of the family's 1533-position model. Lineage: Bacteria; Pseudomonadati; Pseudomonadota; Alphaproteobacteria; Rickettsiales. The record is from RNAcentral.
UGCAAGUCGAACGCCCCGCAAGGGGAGUGGCGAACGGGUGAGUAACGCGUGGGAACCUACCCAGCAGUUGGGGAUAACCGCGGGAAACUGCGGCUAAUACCGAAUACGUCCUAAGGGAGAAAGAUUUAUCGCUGUUGGAGGGGCCCGCGUCGGAUUAGCUAGUUGGUGAGGUAACGGCUCACCAAGGCGACGAUCCGUAGCUGGUCUGAGAGGAUGAUCAGCCACACUGGGACUUAGACACGGCCCAGACUCCUACGGGAGGCAGCAGUGGGGAAUAUUGGACAAUGGGGGCAACCCUGAUCCAGCAAUGCCGCGUGAGUGAUGAAGGCCUUAGGGUUGUAAAGCUCUUUUACCGGGGACGAUGAUGACGGUACCCGGAGAAUAAGCCCCGGCUAACUUCGUGCCAGCAGCCGCGGUAAUACGAAGGGGGCGAGCGUUGUUCGGAGUUACUGGGCGUAAAGGGCGCGUAGGCGGCGUCCCAAGUUAGGCGUGAAAGCCCCGGGCUCAACCUGGGAAUUGCGCUUAAGACUGGGAUGCUCGAGUGCGGAAGAGGUGAGUGGAAUUCCCAGUGUAGAGGUGAAAUUCGUAGAUAUUGGGAAGAACACCAGUGGCGAAGGCGGCUCACUGGUCCGCAACUGACGCUGAGGCGCGAAAGCGUGGGGAGCAAACAGGAUUAGAUACCCUGGUAGUCCACGCCGUAAACGAUGAGUGCUAGACGUUGGGA